Molecule: ribosomal RNA, 388 nt
Filed under: Bulinus obtusispira
Lineage: Eukaryota; Metazoa; Mollusca; Gastropoda; Planorbidae
Description: partial 16S ribosomal RNA
Rfam family: Archaeal large subunit ribosomal RNA
Source: RNAcentral
UGUUCUGCCCAGUGUAAUUAUAAAUGGCCGCAGUACCCUGACUGUGCUAAGGUAGCAUAAUCAAUUGGCUUUUAAUUGGAGUYUGGAAUGAAAGAAUCCAUGGGGAAAUGCUGUCUUAAAUGUACUAAUAUAAAUUUAUUUAUUAGGUGAAAAUACCUAUAAAAAGAAAAAAGACGAGAAGACCCUAAGAAUUUUUAAGAAGUUUUUUGUUGGGGCGACAAAUUAGAAAUUAAACCUAAUUUAUUAAACAGGCGAAUUUUUUAAGAAAUAAAAAAUUACCUUAAGGGAUAACAGCAUAAUUUUAAAAAGUUUGUGACCUCGAUGUUGGACUAGGAACUUUAUGGCUAGCAGUCAGAAGAGAUUUAUUCUGUUCGAAUAAUUUUAUCCU